AGAGUUUGAUCAUGGCUCAGAUUGAACGCUGGCGGCAGGCCUAACACAUGCAAGUCGAGCGGUAGCACAGAGAGCUUGCUCUCGGGUGACGAGCGGCGGACGGGUGAGUAAUGUCUGGGAAACUGCCUGAUGGAGGGGGAUAACUACUGGAAACGGUAGCUAAUACCGCAUAAUGUCGCAAGACCAAAGUGGGGGACCUUCGGGCCUCAUGCCAUCAGAUGUGCCCAGAUGGGAUUAGCUAGUAGGUGGGGUAACGGCUCACCUAGGCGACGAUCCCUAGCUGGUCUGAGAGGAUGACCAGCCACACUGGAACUGAGACACGGUCCAGACUCCUACGGGAGGCAGCAGUGGGGAAUAUUGCACAAUGGGCGCAAGCCUGAUGCAGCCAUGCCGCGUGUGUGAAGAAGGCCUUCGGGUUGUAAAGCACUUUCAGCGGGGAGGAAGGCGNCGAUUGACGUUACCCGCAGAAGAAGCACCGGCUAACUCCGUGCCAGCAGCCGCGGUAAUACGGAGGGUGCAAGCGUUAAUCGGAAUUACUGGGCGUAAAGCGCACGCAGGCGGUCUGUCAAGUCGGAUGUGAAAUCCCCGGGCUCAACCUGGGAACUGCAUUCGAAACUGGCAGGCUAGAGUCUUGUAGAGGGGGGUAGAAUUCCAGGUGUAGCGGUGAAAUGCGUAGAGAUCUGGAGGAAUACCGGUGGCGAAGGCGGCCCCCUGGACAAAGACUGACGCUCAGGUGCGAAAGCGUGGGGAGCAAACAGGAUUAGAUACCCUGGUAGUCCACGCCGUAAACGAUGUCGAUUUGGAGGUUGUGCCCUUGAGGCGUGGCUUCCGGAGCUAACGCGUUAAAUCGACCGCCUGGGGAGUACGGCCGCAAGGUUAAAACUCAAAUGAAUUGACGGGGGCCCGCACAAGCGGUGGAGCAUGUGGUUUAAUUCGAUGCAACGCGAAGAACCUUACCUGGUCUUGACAUCCACAGAACUUUCCAGAGAUGGAUUGGUGCCUUCGGGAACUGUGAGACAGGUGCUGCAUGGCUGUCGUCAGCUCGUGUUGUGAAAUGUUGGGUUAAGUCCCGCAACGAGCGCAACCCUUAUCCUUUGUUGCCAGCGGUCCGGCCGGGAACUCAAAGGAGACUGCCAGUGAUAAACUGGAGGAAGGUGGGGAUGACGUCAAGUCAUCAUGGCCCUUACGACCAGGGCUACACACGUGCUACAAUGGCAUAUACAAAGAGAAGCGACCUCGCGAGAGCAAGCGGACCUCAUAAAGUAUGUCGUAGUCCGGAUUGGAGUCUGCAACUCGACUCCAUGAAGUCGGAAUCGCUAGUAAUCGUAGAUCAGAAUGCUACGGUGAAUACGUUCCCGGGCCUUGUACACACCGCCCGUCACACCAUGGGAGUGGGUUGCAAAAGAAGUAGGUAGCUUAACCUUCGGGAGGGCGCUUACCACUUUGUGAUUCAUGACUGGGGUGAAGUCGUAACAAGGUAACCGUAGGGGAACCUGCGGUUG
This 1502-nucleotide ribosomal RNA is filed under the name Klebsiella pneumoniae. RNAcentral describes it as "bacterial SSU rRNA". It matches the Rfam family "Bacterial small subunit ribosomal RNA". Lineage: Bacteria; Pseudomonadati; Pseudomonadota; Gammaproteobacteria; Enterobacterales; Enterobacteriaceae. The record is from RNAcentral.